GAACGCUGGCGGCGUGCUUAACCCCUGCAAGUUGAGCGGAAAGGCCCUUUGGGGUUCUUGAGCGGCGAACGGGUGAGUAACCCGUGAGCCACCUGCCCCUGACUUUGGGAUCAGCCCGGGAAAAUGGGUUUUAUUCCGGAUUCGGCCGCCCCCGGCCUUGGGUGGUGGUGGAAAGUUUUUUCGGUUGGGGAUGGGCUCGCGGCCUAUCAGCUUGUUGGUGGGGUAGUGGCCUACCAAGGCGACGACGGGUAGCCGGCCUGAGAGGGCGACCGGCCACACUGGGACUGAGACACGGCCCAGACUCCUACGGGAGGCAGCAGUGGGGAAUAUUGCGCAAUGGGCGGAAGCCUGACGCAGCGACGCCGCGUGGGGGAUGACGGCCUUCGGGUUGUAAACCUCUUUCAGCAGGGACGAAGUUGACGUGUACCUGCAGAAGAAGCGCCGGCUAACUACGUGCCAGCAGCCGCGGUAAUACGUAGGGCGCAAGCGUUGUCCGGAAUUAUUGGGCGUAAAGAGCUCGUAGGUGGCUG
RNAcentral lists this ribosomal RNA (530 nucleotides) under Nonomuraea jabiensis. Its description in RNAcentral is "bacterial SSU rRNA". It matches the Rfam family "Bacterial small subunit ribosomal RNA", at positions 31 to 581 of the family's 1533-position model. Lineage: Bacteria; Bacillati; Actinomycetota; Actinomycetes; Streptosporangiales; Streptosporangiaceae. The record is from RNAcentral.